RNAcentral lists this ribosomal RNA (255 nucleotides) under uncultured prokaryote. RNAcentral describes it as "partial 16S rRNA". It matches the Rfam family "Archaeal small subunit ribosomal RNA", at positions 475 to 788 of the family's 1478-position model. The record is from RNAcentral.
ACCGGCAGCUCAAGUGGUGGCCAUUAUUAUUGGGCCUAAAGCGUUCGUAGCCGGUUUGAUAAGUCUCUGGUGAAAUCCCGCAGCUUAACUGUGGGACUUGCUGGAGAUACUAUCAGACUUGAGGUCGGGAGAGGUUAGGGGUACUCCCAGCGGGGGGGGCUGGCAGCCGAGGCGAGCGGGGGGGUGAGAAAGGAAAGGGGGGGCGGAGAACCGGAUGACGCCCGAGGGGUUGGGUUGGUGCUCGGUUGAGUUAGG